Molecule: ribosomal RNA, 1068 nt
Filed under: Candidatus Phytoplasma asteris
Lineage: Bacteria; Bacillati; Mycoplasmatota; Mollicutes; Acholeplasmatales; Acholeplasmataceae
Also listed under: 1 other name
Description: bacterial SSU rRNA
Rfam family: Bacterial small subunit ribosomal RNA
Source: RNAcentral
GCGUCACAUUAGUUAGUUGGUGGGGUAAAGGCCUACCAAGACUAUGAUGUGUAGCCGGGCUGAGAGGUUGAACGGCCACAUUGGGACUGAGACACGGCCCAAACUCCUACGGGAGGCAGCAGUAGGGAAUUUUCGGCAAUGGAGGAAACUCUGACCGAGCAACGCCGCGUGAACGAUGAAGUAUUUCGGUACGUAAAGUUCUUUUAUUAGGGAAGAAUAAAUGAUGGAAAAAUCAUUCUGACGGUACCUAAUGAAUAAGCCCCGGCUAACUAUGUGCCAGCAGCCGCGGUAAUACAUAGGGGGCAAGCGUUAUCCGGAAUUAUUGGGCGUAAAGGGUGCGUAGGCGGUUAAAUAAGUUUAUGGUCUAAGUGCAAUGCUCAACAUUGUGAUGCUAUAAAAACUGUUUAGCUAGAGUAAGAUAGAGGCAAGUGGAAUUCCAUGUGUAGUGGUAAAAUGCGUAAAUAUAUGGAGGAACACCAGUAGCGAAGGCGGCUUGCUGGGUCUUUACUGACGCUGAGGCACGAAAGCGUGGGGAGCAAACAGGAUUAGAUACCCUGGUAGUCCACGCCGUAAACGAUGAGUACUAAACGUUGGGUAAAACCAGUGUUGAAGUUAACACAUUAAGUACUCCGCCUGAGUAGUACGUACGCAAGUAUGAAACUUAAAGGAAUUGACGGGACUCCGCACAAGCGGUGGAUCAUGUUGUUUAAUUCGAAGGUACCCGAAAAACCUCACCAGGUCUUGACAUGCUUCUGCAAAGCUGUAGAAACACAGUGGAGGUUAUCAGUUGCACAGGUGGUGCAUGGUUGUCGUCAGCUCGUGUCGUGAGAUGUUGGGUUAAGUCCCGCAACGAGCGCAACCCUUAUUGUUAGUUACCAGCACGUAAUGGUGGGGACUUUAGCAAGACUGCCAGUGAUGAAUUGGAGGAAGGUGGGGACGACGUCAAAUCAUCAUGCCCCUUAUGACCUGGGCUACAAACGUGAUACAAUGGCUGUUACAAAGGGUAGCUGAAGCGCAAGUUUUUGGCGAAUCUCAAAAAAACAGUCUCAGUUCGGAUUGAAGUAGUGC